ACAUUGGUAGUUCAAUAGUAGAAUUCUCGCCUCCCAUCCGGGAGACCUGGGUUCAAUUCCUAGUCAAUGCA
Molecule: transfer RNA, 71 nt
Filed under: Loxodonta africana (African savanna elephant)
Lineage: Eukaryota; Metazoa; Chordata; Mammalia; Proboscidea; Elephantidae
Rfam family: tRNA
About the family: Transfer RNA (tRNA) molecules are approximately 80 nucleotides in length. Their secondary structure includes four short double-helical elements and three loops (D, anti-codon, and T loops). Further hydrogen bonds mediate the characteristic L-shaped molecular structure. tRNAs have two regions of fundamental functional importance: the anti-codon, which is responsible for specific mRNA codon recognition, and the 3' end, to which the tRNAs corresponding amino acid is attached (by aminoacyl-tRNA synthetases). tRNAs cope with the degeneracy of the genetic code in two manners: having more than one tRNA (with a specific anti-codon) for a particular amino acid; and 'wobble' base-pairing, i.e. permitting non-standard base-pairing at the 3rd anti-codon position.
Source: Rfam by way of RNAcentral